Molecule: long non-coding RNA, 597 nt
Filed under: Parus major (Great Tit)
Lineage: Eukaryota; Metazoa; Chordata; Aves; Passeriformes; Paridae
Description: lncRNA (ENSPMJG00000003582.1)
Source: RNAcentral
CAUGAAGCUGUUUUUUCGCAUUACAGAGAUUUAUAUGUUUGCGUUUACAUAUUGCAGGUGUUUCCAUAAAAGCUCGGGGUAGACACAUUCAGGAUGGCCUGAAAGAAAAUGGAGAAGUGCUUAAAAUGUUACUGAGCACACUUACAAAUAUCAUCCUGGAGCAGAAGAGUGAAGUCACUGCAGAAACGAGGGAGCACAGGCAGAUCCCUUCAUGCCUUUGGAAGCUCUGGCUAUCACUGCACCAGGUGGAAAAAGACUGUGGACAGGAAUUAUCUAAGGACCACAAUUCAGGCACUGAAGGAGCAAAACUGCAACCCACCCAAUAUAAUUCCUGUAAACUCAAUGUGCCAAGGUUUCCAACAAGCACCAUCUCUGGUAACCACAGUCAUUCCCAUGCCAGGCCUUACAGAAACUGGUCAGAAUGGUUUUGGAGAUCUGGACAGCCCCUGAUCUUUCUGAGGAAGGAAAAAGCAGCUCAGCUGAGCUACAAAGUCAGCCUCCUUGGGCUUGCAUUAAUUUGAUGUGCAUCCAUCUUAAUUGAAGCUGAUCCAUUUCAGCUUUGGCAGCACAUUGAUAAUAAACAGGAACCAAACACCA